Molecule: ribosomal RNA, 117 nt
Filed under: Periophthalmus magnuspinnatus
Lineage: Eukaryota; Metazoa; Chordata; Actinopteri; Gobiiformes; Gobiidae
Source: RNAcentral
CUUUGUAGCCAAACUUCCUUGUCAAAGCCUGACCUCAUCAGAUCUCAGAGGCUCAGCAGAUUUGGACCAGUUCAAUACAUGGAUGGCAGACCACUGGAAUAUCAGGUGCGACAGUGG